Long non-coding RNA from Spinacia oleracea (spinach), 588 nucleotides. RefSeq lists it as uncharacterized. Lineage: Eukaryota; Viridiplantae; Streptophyta; Magnoliopsida; Caryophyllales; Amaranthaceae. The record is from RefSeq and is a predicted model, not a curated record. The transcript is spliced from 3 exons.
UAGGGGGCUCCAUACUUGCAUAUCCAUCUUCAGAUCUAAACCCCAAAAAGAAUCAUUCACAUAAACUCUCAAAAGUAAACUCCAGCAAAAACUAAGCACAGCCGUUCCUACCGAACCUUUCACCGAUCUCCUCCAUUUACCACCAACUCCGGUGCACCGCCUUUAUCCACCGCCUUCCAAACUCCGGUGAAUGUCGUGUGUCCCGCAACUUUCGUUAAUUUGAGACAGAUCUAAACGCGGGGGUGAAAAAAGAUACCGAAUUCUUGAUUUUUCGGACUCGUAGCGAGUUUUGUUGACAUAUGCGGUCAGUUUUCAAUUUCUUCGACCUCAUUUUUAUCGGCGGAAAAGUUCCAAAAUGUAGGUCUGUCAAAAUCCAAAGACAAUGCCAAAGAUGUCAAGCAAAUUAAUUUUUCUAUUUUUCAAUCGGAGUUCUUCAUGAUUUCACAACAUUCUUAUUAUUGUGAAUCCACUAUCCAUUAUUUACCAUUGUUCAUAUUUUGUAUUCUACUACGAGCAUUGUAUAAGAUAAAAUUGUAAAUAUAUUUCAUGGGAGCAAUAAAAUAGUCAUAUUUGAAUUUUGAAUUUUUA